AAGGUGGUGUAGUGGUAGCACGCGUUCCUAGUGUGGAUGAAACGUGGAUUCGACUCCCGUUUUAGGUU
Non-coding RNA from Parelaphostrongylus tenuis, 68 nucleotides. Lineage: Eukaryota; Metazoa; Nematoda; Chromadorea; Rhabditida; Metastrongylidae. The record is from the annotation of a GenBank genome assembly.